UACGAAGGGUGCAAACGUUGCUCGGAAUCAUUGGGCGUAAAGCGCGCGCAGGCGGCCCUUUAAGUCUACCCGUGAAAUGCCGGAGCUCAACUCCGUGCACGCCGGGGGAUACUGGAGGGCUGGAGACGAGUAGAGGCAAGCGGAAUUCCGGGUGUAGAGGUGAAAUUCGUAGAUAUCGGGAGGAACACCGGUGGCGAAGGCGGCGACCUGGGUCGAUACUGACGCUGAGGUGCGAAAGCGUGGGGAGCAAACAGG
RNAcentral lists this ribosomal RNA (255 nucleotides) under uncultured bacterium. RNAcentral's name for it is "partial 16S ribosomal RNA". It matches the Rfam family "Bacterial small subunit ribosomal RNA", at positions 524 to 776 of the family's 1533-position model. The record is from RNAcentral.